RNAcentral lists this ribosomal RNA (288 nucleotides) under Listeria monocytogenes. RNAcentral describes it as "partial 16S ribosomal RNA". It matches the Rfam family "Bacterial small subunit ribosomal RNA", at positions 404 to 684 of the family's 1533-position model. Lineage: Bacteria; Bacillati; Bacillota; Bacilli; Caryophanales; Listeriaceae. The record is from RNAcentral.
AGUGAUGAAGGUUUUCGGAUCGUAAAGCUCUGUUGUUAGGGAAGAACAAGUGCGAGAGUAACUGCUCGCACCUUGACGGUACCUAACCAGAAAGCCACGGCUAACUACGUGCCAGCAGCCGCGGUAAUACGUAGGUGGCAAGCGUUGUCCGGAAUUAUUGGGCGUAAAGGGCUCGCAGGCGGUUUCUUAAGUCUGAUGUGAAAGCCCCCGGCUCAACCGGGGAGGGUCAUUGGAAACUGGGAAACUUGAGUGCAGAAGAGGAGAGUGGAAUUCCACGUGUAGCGGUGA